Molecule: ribosomal RNA, 440 nt
Filed under: uncultured bacterium
Lineage: Bacteria
Description: partial 16S ribosomal RNA
Rfam family: Bacterial small subunit ribosomal RNA
Source: RNAcentral
CCUACGGGUGGCAGCAGUGGGGAAUAUUGCACAAUGGGGGAAACCCUGAUGCAGCAACGCCGCGUGAAUGAAGAAGGAUUUCGGUAUGUAAAGUUCUAUCAGCAGGGAAGAAAAUGACGGUACCUGACUAAGAAGCCCCGGCUAACUACGUGCCAGCAGCCGCGGUAAUACGUAGGGGGCAAGCGUUGUCCGGAUUUACUGGGGGUAAAGGGAGCGUAGGCGGCGUUGCAAGUCAGAAGUGAAAGCCCCGGGCUCAACUCCGGGACUGCUUUUGAAACUGGAAGGCUAGAGUGCAGGAGAGGCAAGUGGAAUUCCGAGUGUAGCGGUGAAAUGCGUAGAGAUUAGGAGGAACACCAGUGGCGAAGGCGGUUUGCUGGACUGUAAAUGACGCUGAGGCUCGAAAGCGUGGGGAGCAAACAGGAUUAGAUACCCGGGUAGUC